This 443-nucleotide ribosomal RNA is filed under the name uncultured bacterium. RNAcentral describes it as "partial 16S ribosomal RNA". It matches the Rfam family "Bacterial small subunit ribosomal RNA", at positions 338 to 795 of the family's 1533-position model. The record is from RNAcentral.
CCUACGGGUGGCAGCAGUGGGGAAUAUUGGGCCAUGGAGGCAACUCUGACCCAGCAACGCCGCGUGAAUGAUGAAGGUCUUCGGAUUGUAAAGUUCUUUUCUAAGGGAAGAAGAUAGUGACGGUACCUUAGGAAUAAGCCUCGGACAACUACGUGCCAGCAGCCGGCGUAAUACGUAGGAGGCAAGCAGUAUUCGGAAUGACUGGGCGGAAAGGGUGCGUAGGUGGUUUGACAAGUUAGUAGCGCAACUCCGGAGCUCAACUUCGGAACUACUGCUAAAACUGUUGGACUAGAGUGCAGGAGGGGCAAUCGGAAUUCCUAGUGUAGCGGUGGAAUGCGUAGAUAUUAGGAGGAACACCAGAGGCGAAGGCGGAUUGCUAGACUGUAACUGACACUGAGGCACGAAAGCGUGGGGAGAAAACAGGAUUAGAUAGCCGAGUAGUC